Molecule: regulatory RNA element, 94 nt
Organism: Shigella dysenteriae Sd197
Lineage: Bacteria; Pseudomonadati; Pseudomonadota; Gammaproteobacteria; Enterobacterales; Enterobacteriaceae
Rfam family: Tryptophan operon leader
About the family: At least 6 amino acid operons are known to be regulated by attenuation.
Source: Rfam
AAAGGUUGGUGGCGCACUUCCUGAAACGGGCAGUGUAUUCACCAUGCGUAAAGCAAUCAGAUACCCAGCCCGCCUAAUGAGCGGGCUUUUUUUU